GGGGAGCGCGCCGGGCCCGGACGAGGUGCGCCGUACCCGGUCACGACAAGACGACGCCUC
This 60-nucleotide non-coding RNA is filed under the name Archangium gephyra. The record is from RNAcentral. Lineage: Bacteria; Pseudomonadati; Myxococcota; Myxococcia; Myxococcales; Archangiaceae.